CCUACGGGAGGCAGCAGUGGGGAAUUUUGCGCAAUGGGCGGAAGCCUGACGCAGCAACGCCGCGUGAGUGAUGAAGGCUUUCGGGUCGUAAAGCUCUGUCAGAGGGGAAGAAACCCCUGCAGGUUAAUAUCCUGCAGGCUUGACGGUACCCUCAAAGGAAGCACCGGCUAACUCCGUGCCAGCAGCCGCGGUAAUACGGAGGGUGCAAGCGUUGUUCGGAAUUAUUGGGCGUAAAGCGCGUGUAGGCGGCUUGCUAAGUCUGAUGUGAAAGCCCUGGGCUCAACCCAGGAAGUGCAUUGGAAACUGGUCGGCUUGAGUACGGGAGAGGGUAGUGGAAUUCCGAGUGUAGGGGUGAAAUCCGUAGAUAUUCGGAGGAACACCGGUGGCGAAGGCGGCUACCUGGACCGAUACUGACGCUGAGACGCGAAAGCGUGGGGAGCAAACAGGAUUAGAUACCCUGGUAGUCCACGCCGUAAACGAUGGGUACUAGGUGUCGCGGGUAUUGACCCCUGCGGUGCCGAAGCUAACGCAUGAAGUACCCCGCCUGGGGAGUACGGCCGCAAGGCUAAAACUCAAAGGAAUGAC
This 585-nucleotide ribosomal RNA is filed under the name uncultured Desulfuromonas sp. RNAcentral's name for it is "bacterial SSU rRNA". It matches the Rfam family "Bacterial small subunit ribosomal RNA", at positions 338 to 914 of the family's 1533-position model. Lineage: Bacteria; Pseudomonadati; Thermodesulfobacteriota; Desulfuromonadia; Desulfuromonadales; Desulfuromonadaceae. The record is from RNAcentral.